AUGCCGCGUGUCUGAAGAAGGCCUUCGGGUUGUAAAGGACUUUUGUCAGGGAAGAAAAGGCUGUUGCUAAUAUCGACAGCUGAUGACGGUACCUGAAGAAUAAGCACCGGCUAACUACGUGCCAGCAGCCGCGGUAAUACGUAGGGUGCGAGCGUUAAUCGGAAUUACUGGGCGUAAAGCGAGCGCAGACGGUUACUUAAGCAGGAUGUGAAAUCCCCGGGCUCAACCUGGGAACUGCGUUCUGAACUGGGUGACUAGAGUGUGUGCGAGGGAGGUAGAAUUCCACGUGUAGCAGUGAAAUGCGUAGAGAUGUGGAGGAAUACCGAUGGCGAAGGCAGCCUCCUGGGAUAACACUGACGUUCAUGCUCGAAAGCGUGGGUAGCAAACAGGAUUAGAUACCCUGGUAGUCCACGCCCUAAACGAUGUCAAUUAGCUGUUGGGCAACUUGAUUGCUUAGUAGCGUAGCUAACGCGUGAAAUUGACCGCCUGGGGAGUACGGUCGCAAGAUUAAAACUCAAAGGAAUUGACGGGGACCCGCACAAGCGGUGGAUGAUGUGGAUUAAUUCGAUGCAACGCGAAGAACCUUACCUGGUCUUGACAUGUACGGAAUCCUCCAGAGACGGAGGAGUGCCUUCGGGAGCCGUAACACAGGUGCUGCAUGGCUGUCGUCAGCUCGUGUCGUGAGAUGUUGGGUUAAGUCCCGCAACGAGCGCAACCCUUGUCAUUAGUUGCCAUCAUUAAGUUGGGCACUCUAAUGAGACUGCCGGUGACAAGCCGGAGGAAGGUGGGGAUGACGUCAAGUCCUCAUGGCCCUUAUGACCAGGGCUUCACACGUCAUACAAUGGUCGGUACAGAGGGUAGCCAAGCCGCGAGGUGGAGCCAAUCUCACAAAACCGAUCGUAGUCCGGAUUGCACUCUGCAACUCGAGUGCAUGAAGUCGGAAUCGCUAGUAAUCGCAGGUCAGCAUACUGCGGUGAAUACGUUCCC
This 987-nucleotide ribosomal RNA is filed under the name Neisseria sp. 170702P2. Its description in RNAcentral is "bacterial SSU rRNA". It matches the Rfam family "Bacterial small subunit ribosomal RNA", at positions 394 to 1375 of the family's 1533-position model. Lineage: Bacteria; Pseudomonadati; Pseudomonadota; Betaproteobacteria; Neisseriales; Neisseriaceae. The record is from RNAcentral.